AUUGCAGUAGGGAAUCUUCCGCAAUGGACGAAAGUCUGACGGAGCAACGCCGCGUGAGUGAUGAAGGUUUUCGGAUCGUAAAACUCUGUUGUUAGGGAAGAACAAGUGCGAGAGUAACUGCUCGCACCUUGACGGUACCUAACCAGAAAGCCACGGCUAACUACGUGCCAGCAGCCGCGGUGAUACGUAGGUGGCAAGCGUUGUCCGGAAUUAUUGGGCGUAAAGCGCGCGCAGGCGGUUUCUUAAGUCUGAUGUGAAAGCCCCCGGCUCAACCGUGGAGGGUCAUUGGAAACUGGGGGACUUGAGUACAGAAGAGAAGAGUGGAAUUCCACGUGUAGCGGUGAAAUGCGUAGAGAUGUGGAGGAACACCAGUGGCGAAGGCGACUCUUUGGUCUGUAACUGACGCUGAGGCGCGAAAGCGUGGGGAGCAAACAGGAUUAGAUACCCUGGUAGUCCACGCCGUAAACGAUGAGUGCUAAGUGUUAGAGGGUUUCCGCCCUUUAGUGCUGCAGCAAACGCAUUAAGCACUCCGCCUGGGGAGUACGAUCGCAAGAUUGAAACUCAAAGGAAUUGACGGAAUC
RNAcentral lists this ribosomal RNA (581 nucleotides) under uncultured bacterium. RNAcentral's name for it is "bacterial SSU rRNA". It matches the Rfam family "Bacterial small subunit ribosomal RNA", at positions 348 to 920 of the family's 1533-position model. The record is from RNAcentral.